GACGAACGCUGGCGGCGUGGAUUAGGCAUGCAAGUCGAACGGUAUCAUCCUUUCGGGGGUGAGAGAGUGGCGAACUGGUGAGUAACACGUAGGUUAUCUACCCUCAAGACGGGGACAACCCAGGGAAACUUGGGCUAAUACCGGAUGUGAGCAACUUUUAGUUGUUUGAAAGGUGGCGUAAGCUGUCGCUUGGGGAUGAGCCUGCGUCCUAUUAGUUAGUUGGUGAGGUAACGGCUCACCUAGGCAAUGAUAGGUAGGCGGCCUUAACGGGUGGUCGCCCACACUGGGAUUGAGAUACGGCCCAGACUCCUACGGGAGGCAGCAGUCGAGAAUAGUCUACAAUGGUCGGAAGACUGAUAGUGCGACGCCGCGUGAACGAUGAAUCCCUUCGGGGUGUAAAGUUCUUUUAUAUGUGAGCAGUGCUUCUUAUAUUAACAGUAUGGGGAGAGAGAUAUUAGCAUAUGAAUAAAGCAACGGCUAAACUCCGUGCCAGCAGCCGCGGU
This 503-nucleotide ribosomal RNA is filed under the name uncultured bacterium. RNAcentral describes it as "bacterial SSU rRNA". It matches the Rfam family "Bacterial small subunit ribosomal RNA", at positions 28 to 521 of the family's 1533-position model. The record is from RNAcentral.